Long non-coding RNA from Juglans microcarpa x Juglans regia, 1436 nucleotides. RefSeq lists it as uncharacterized. The record is from RefSeq and is a predicted model, not a curated record. The transcript has 3 exons. Lineage: Eukaryota; Viridiplantae; Streptophyta; Magnoliopsida; Fagales; Juglandaceae.
CUUCACAACUCAUAGAUUUUGCCCAGCAGUAAGAGAGAUUGUUCGGACUCACUCUCUCUCUCUCUCUCUCAAUAAAUGCCCUAAUCUUUCUCUAGUUUUCAGUCCAAACUGAUGGGUAUGCCUUGUCUACUAUCCCAUAUAAGUCACCGGCACUUCAUCAUUUAGUAUUCCUACUGCUUGAACUUGCAAACCUACCUUAAUGGCUUCCACACCACCACCCAAACCAUCAAAACAGCUUGGAGAAUUUUUACUGGAGCAACAAGAACCUUUCAUCCUAGACGAGUAUCUUUUAGAAAGAGGGUGCCGGAAGAACAGCUCAAAUUCAAGAAGUAACCUUAGCAGCUGCUGCAGCAAUUCAACGAAGUUACUAAAGAAGUCGGCCAGUUUGUGGCUUAAACAAGAGCAGAAAUGAUGUUCCACGCUGCUCCAAAAUACUGGGAUGUGUAUAUAAGAAGUUUGUUUCAAUUAAAGAGGACCAGAGAAGGAAGAGUUCUGAAUAUAGAGAUGAAGAAUAUGGUGCCCCUGCAAUGGAGAUGGUGGACAAAGAAGUUGCGGAAUUGGGUGGUUUUUCCUCAGCUAGCAGCACGACAGUGUUCUACUCAUGCUCCGAGAGUGAUAAGGAGGAAAUAUCAACUUCACCAUGUUAAGAUCAGACCUUCUUUGAUGUAGAAACUUUCCAAGCUAUGAAACUCCGCAAUGAUGCAACAGAUUGAAAAGCUUCGGCGGAGAUGCAAUGAAGACAGUAAGCAACUAGGCCGUGUCAGUACUAGAAGAAAUAUCCUCCCCUGAAGCUCUUUCAAACAAAAACAGAGCAACAAAAUACCAGGAUAAGACAAGAAGAGAAUCCAACAGCCUGUCCCAAGAAAGGUUUACAAGACUACACACUAUCAUCAGCAGCUCUUCCAAGGGAAUUGCUCUUUCACUUGGCAACAGAGAAGCCAAUUCAUACAGGAGUUGCAGAGUUGCAAAGGCUUGGAGAGUCUAACCCUUCCCCACAGUACUUGAAAUUGAAAAUGGUAUUGCAGCAAACAAAGCAGCUUCUGUUUGAUUGUGUGAGGGAGGCGAUGGAGACCCAUGUGAGGAAGGAGAGAGAGAAGCAGCAUCACAAAGAAUUGCUGGGGCCUGAAGAGCUUGGGAGGCUCAUAUGUGAAAGAAUGAGGUUAUGGUGGAAACAGGCUGCAGAUGAAACAAACACAAAUUAUUUCUUGGGUUUGGACUUCUCGGAUUCCAUGAAAGAAUGGCGUACUUUGGAACAGCAGAAGAGGGAAAUUGCGUUGGAGAUUGGAGAUGCCAUUUUGGAAGAGAUCCAGACUGAAAUUGUCAUAGAAAUGAAUGAUUUCCAGGCAGCAACAGCAUUUUGACCUCAUUCCAAGUUUCACUGCUUACGCUUGAUUACCUGCUCAUCCUUCUAUGUUAUCUCUGACAAAUUUGUCAGU